This 229-nucleotide ribosomal RNA is filed under the name uncultured bacterium. RNAcentral's name for it is "partial 16S ribosomal RNA". It matches the Rfam family "Bacterial small subunit ribosomal RNA", at positions 568 to 796 of the family's 1533-position model. The record is from RNAcentral.
UGCGUAGGCGGGGCAAUUAGUCAGUGGUGAAAUCCUGCGGCUUAACCGUAGAACUGCCAUUGAUACUGUUGCUCUUGAGUAUAGUUGAGGUGGGCGGAAUAUGUAAUGUAGCGGUGAAAUGCAUAGAUAUUACAUAGAACACCGAUUGCGAAGGCAGCUCACUAAGCUAUCACUGACGCUGAGGCACGAAAGCGUGGGGAGCGAACAGGAUUAGAUACCCUGGUAGUCC